This 77-nucleotide transfer RNA is filed under the name SAR324 cluster bacterium. Its description in RNAcentral is "tRNA-Arg". It matches the Rfam family "tRNA". From Rfam's summary of the family: Transfer RNA (tRNA) molecules are approximately 80 nucleotides in length. Their secondary structure includes four short double-helical elements and three loops (D, anti-codon, and T loops). Lineage: Bacteria; Deltaproteobacteria. The record is from RNAcentral. RNAcentral also lists the same sequence under 1 other name.
GCACCCGUAGCUCAGUUGGAUAGAGCGACGGAUUCCGGUUCCGUAGGUCGGGCGUUCGAAUCGCUCCGGGUGUACCA